AAGAAAAACUGCAAAAGAAUACAAACAGCACCAUGUGGAUAUAGCUUAUAAUGCCCGACAAAAUCACAGACAGCAGGUGAAGGCAGCAAGGUUCAAGGUCACCUCAAGCUUCAGGGCUUUAGCUCUGGAUAAUUUAGAUCUUGCAGAUGAUGAAACAGACUUUGAGAUAAAGAAAACCAGAAACCAAGUAGUGAAGAGGAUGACAAAGGUAGCUCUGCAGUGGUAAUAGUCAGAGAGUGAUGCUAGUGAUAACCAAGCCGCCAGCAGCAGCGUAUUUCAGUUAAUUGAUGUAGAAGCGCCAGGUGGUGCUGGGGCGGUGCGAUCCUACGAAUCCCUCAUACAGGAAUCUCAGAGCAGCAGUGGUAUCACCUGUAACUCGGUUCCACUAGUACGAGAACAAGUUCCCCAAACACAGGAUGAGGAUUAUGUGUACGACUUGUAUUUACAAAUAACAGAGACUUUAGCUUUAAACUUCUAGAAAGUGCAUUGACAAUAGAGGCAUUUGGUGAUGAUUUGGUUUAUGAAGAUAUGCCACACCAGGAGGAAGAGCAUGUGUAUGAAGAGGAAGAUGAUAGUAAUGAUGAGGACAAUUGGAGGAAUGACUAUCCAGAUGAAGAUCCCCACUUCCUCGAUAACCAGCUAGAAACAGACUUUUUCUAUGGGGGUGAUGUGAUAGAACGACAAGCCUUUGCCGACACUGGUGAUGCUGGAUUGGCAGAGUGGAUGCACACUCGCUGCAACAUAGGUAAACCUUCAUCUUC
This is a long non-coding RNA of Pecten maximus, 761 nucleotides long. RefSeq lists it as uncharacterized. The record is from RefSeq and is a predicted model, not a curated record. The transcript has 3 exons. NCBI's taxonomy places the organism in Eukaryota, Metazoa, Mollusca, Bivalvia, Pectinida, Pectinidae.